UGCUCGGGGUCGCAACGCUGUCUUUGGGCGGACGGUCGGCUGCCCGCUGCUCGCUGGGGUCUGCGCGGCGCCGGCCUCUGCGCUUUCUGUCCGCCCUUACCCUGUAGCUCUAAGAUACCGCUCUGCAGCUUCGGCUCCUGGCCGUCCCCGGAGUGCAGACGGCGAGCGAUGCCGCUCCCGGCCCGAGGCUGCGGGCGCGGGGCCGCGUGUGCGCGGGAGGCGAGCCUCCGUCUCGCACGACUUUUCCUGGCAAUAAGGACUCGUCUAGAGGUUUGCUGCGCAGGGGAGGAGGGAAGGUCCGGGGGCCCUGGGACCCUUUGCUGCAGUGCUUGCACCCGGAAAAAGCGUCUCCUCCAGCAACAAAAUACAAAGAAACUAAGGAAUUAAAAACAACUGCGUGCGGGCACAGUUGAAGCAAAUUGCGGACAACAAGAUACAAAGAGACCAAACGCCCAGUGUCCACUUCUGAACAACCAGGAGCCAAAGCUGGGAGCAGUGCCUGCCCCCUGCACAUGAUACUACCAGAGCCGGGGUACCUCCCGCCGACCCCGGGACCCACCCUCAGCCUCACCCGGUAUAAGGAGCCCCCUCAUCCUCCUCCUGUUGUUUGUUCUUACCCCCCACCCCACCCUCCGGCUGCAGCAGGGGCCCCAGUAAAGCCUUGCCCGAAUUUCCUGUCUGACCUCUAGUCAACUUCUGUAGGUUAGAGGAGGUCAAGAGCCCUGUUUGCUGACACCUGCCUUGCACGAGGAGCAACCCUGGGGCCCUGGAGCGGAGCCUGGUGUGUGACACCCCCCCCCCACCGCCGGGAGGGGCCGGCCCCGGGUGGGCGUCGGUGGCUGUGCUCAGGCCCCAGCUGGCUGCAGGGUGAAGCUGCCUGUUCAGGACUCGGCCUUUCUGCUCAGACACGUCCAUGCCCUGGAAUCCAGCCCAUGAACAGCCACCCAGGUUCUAGGCUGGAAGGAAAGAACUAGGGCUCCUGUGGGCAGGGUGCUUCUGAGCUGUGCCGGGGAACUGACCGGGUGGUCUCGGGAGAUCUCCAUGAGCCGUGCAGACAAGGCCUCCAGCAGCGCAGGGUCCUGCUGGCCUGGGGACCACAAGGACUGUGGAGAAGGAACCGCAGCUCCUCUACCUUGAAAGGAGCACUGCAGA
This is a long non-coding RNA of Cervus elaphus (red deer), 1152 nucleotides long. RefSeq lists it as uncharacterized. The record is from RefSeq and is a predicted model, not a curated record. Lineage: Eukaryota; Metazoa; Chordata; Mammalia; Artiodactyla; Cervidae. The transcript is spliced from 3 exons.